RNAcentral lists this ribosomal RNA (435 nucleotides) under uncultured bacterium. Its description in RNAcentral is "bacterial SSU rRNA". It matches the Rfam family "Bacterial small subunit ribosomal RNA", at positions 29 to 507 of the family's 1533-position model. The record is from RNAcentral.
AGCGAACGCUGGCGGCAUGCCUAACACAUGCAAGUCGAGCGCUCCCAGCAAUGGGGGAGCGGCGGACGGGUGAGUAACGCGUAGGAACGUAUCCUGAGGUGGGGGAUAACCCUGGGAAACUAGGGCUAAUACCGCAUGAUGGCGAGAGCCCAAAGAUUUAUCGCCUUGGGAGCGGCCUGCGUCUGAUUAGCUUGUUGGUGGGGUAACGGCCUACCAAGGCGAUGAUCAGUAGCUGGUCUGAGAGGAUGAUCAGCCACACUGGGACUGAGACACGGCCCAGACUCCUACGGGAGGCAGCAGUGGGGAAUAUUGGACAAUGGGCGAAAGCCUGAUCCAGCAAUGCCGCGUGGAUGAAGAAGGUCUUCGGAUUGUAAAGUCCUUUCGGCGGGGACGAUGAUGACGGUACCCGCAGAAGAAGCCCCGGCUAACUUCGUG